Molecule: unclassified non-coding RNA, 419 nt
Filed under: soil metagenome
Description: partial contains 5.8S ribosomal RNA, internal transcribed spacer 2, and large subunit ribosomal RNA
Rfam family: 5.8S ribosomal RNA (bases 1-120)
Source: RNAcentral
GAUGAAGAACGCAGCGAAAUGCGAUACGUAAUGUGAAUUGCAGAAUUCAGUGAAUCAUCGAAUCUUUGAACGCAUCUUGCGCUCCUUGGUAUUCCUUGGAGCAUGCCUGUUUGAGUAUCAUGAGCAAAUCUCAAAGUCAAUUCCUUUUGUUAAUUCAAUUGGUUUUGCUUUGGACUUGGAGGUCUUGCAGAUUUUCACAGUCUGCUCCUCUUAAAUGCAUUAGCUGGAUCUCAGUAAUUAUGCUUGGUUCCACUCGGCGUGAUAAGUAUCACUCGCUGAGGACACUGUUAAAAAGGUGGCCAGGAAAAUACUGAUUGAACCGCUUCUAACGGUCUAUUAAGUUAGACAAUUACCCUUAAGUUUGAUCUCAAAUCAGGUAGGACUACCCGCUGAACUUAAGCAUAUCAAUAAGCGGAGGA